GAUGAACGCUGGCGGCGCGCCUAACACAUGCAAGUCGAACGGUUAAAGCACCUUUUAGGUGUGUAUAAAGUGGCGAACGGCUGAGUAACACGUGGGCAACCUGCCCUCCUCUUGGGGAUAGCCUCGGGAAACCGAGGAUAAUACCCGAUACUUCAAUGUGGCCGCAUGACGACAUUGAGAAAGCUUUUGCGGAGAAGGAUGGGCCCGCGGCCUGUCAGCUUGUUGGUGGGGUAGAGGCCUACCAAGGCAAUGAUGGGUAGCUGGGUUGAGAGACCGACCAGCCAGAUUGGGGCUGGGACACGGCCCCGGCUCCUGCGGGGGGCCGCAGUGGGGAAUCUUGCACAAUGGGCGAAAGCCUGAUGCAGCGACGCCGCGGGCGGGGCGAAGGCCUUCGGGUUGUAAACCGCUUUCAGCAGGGACGAGGCGAUAAGUGACGGUACCUGCAGAAGAAGCCCCGGCUAACUACGUG
RNAcentral lists this ribosomal RNA (469 nucleotides) under uncultured bacterium. RNAcentral describes it as "partial 16S ribosomal RNA". It matches the Rfam family "Bacterial small subunit ribosomal RNA", at positions 28 to 507 of the family's 1533-position model. The record is from RNAcentral.